UUUGUGUUCUUAUUUGUUUU
RNAcentral lists this microRNA (20 nucleotides) under Corchorus olitorius. RNAcentral's name for it is "bta-miR-24". The record is from RNAcentral. Lineage: Eukaryota; Viridiplantae; Streptophyta; Magnoliopsida; Malvales; Malvaceae.